UUUAAGCGUAGCCAUGAGUCAUGCGUUUCCGUAUCCAAUUUUGAUUGUCCGUCUUAUUUGAUUUUUUUAUUAGUAUUUUUAUUGCUAUUAGAUGAUAAAAUGUGAACAUGACUUAUAUUUUUAUUUUUUUUCAAAAAAAAAAUAAAUAUGACGGACGCUUAAAAUUAGACAUAGAAAUUCAUGGCUGCGCUUAAA
Molecule: microRNA precursor, 195 nt
Organism: Oryza rufipogon (brownbeard rice)
Lineage: Eukaryota; Viridiplantae; Streptophyta; Magnoliopsida; Poales; Poaceae
Rfam family: MIR812 microRNA precursor family
Source: Rfam